RNAcentral lists this ribosomal RNA (495 nucleotides) under uncultured bacterium. RNAcentral describes it as "partial 16S ribosomal RNA". It matches the Rfam family "Bacterial small subunit ribosomal RNA", at positions 28 to 507 of the family's 1533-position model. The record is from RNAcentral.
GACGAACGCUGGCGGCGUGCCUAAUACAUGCAAGUAGAACGCUGAAGGAGGAGCUUGCUUCUCUGGAUGAGUUGCGAACGGGUGAGUAACGCGUAGGUAACCUGCCUGGUAGCGGGGGAUAACUAUUGGAAACGAUAGCUAAUACCGCAUAAUAGUAGAUGUCGCAUGACAUUUGCUUAAAAGGUGCAAUUGCAUCACUACCAGAUGGACCUGCGUUGUAUUAGCUAGUUGGUGAGGUAACGGCUCACCAAGGCAACGAUACAUAGCCGACCUGAGAGGGUGAUCGGCCACACUGGGACUGAGACACGGCCCAGACUCCUACGGGAGGCAGCAGUAGGGAAUCUUCGGCAAUGGACGGAAGUCUGACCGAGCAACGCCGCGGGAGUGAAGAAGGGUUUCGGAUCGUAAAGCUCUGUUGUAAGAGAAGAACGAGUGUGAGAGUGGAAAGUUCACACUGUGACGGUAGCUUACCAGAAAGGGACGGCUAACUACGUG